GCGAUACCACCCCGAACGCGCCAGAUCUCGUCUGAUCUUGGAAGUUAAACAGGGUUAGGCCUGGUUAGUACUUGGAUGGGAGAAUACAGGAGC
Molecule: ribosomal RNA, 93 nt
Filed under: Carlito syrichta (Philippine tarsier)
Lineage: Eukaryota; Metazoa; Chordata; Mammalia; Primates; Tarsiidae
Source: RNAcentral